GGUCCCGUAGCUCAGUUGGUUAGAGCGUCGUACUAAUAUCUCCUGUAUAGGAUAUAUCAUGUAAUGCGAAGGUCGCGGGUUCGACCCCCUCCGGGACCA
RNAcentral lists this transfer RNA (99 nucleotides) under Coniella lustricola. It matches the Rfam family "tRNA". Rfam says of the family: Transfer RNA (tRNA) molecules are approximately 80 nucleotides in length. Their secondary structure includes four short double-helical elements and three loops (D, anti-codon, and T loops). The record is from Rfam by way of RNAcentral. Lineage: Eukaryota; Fungi; Ascomycota; Sordariomycetes; Diaporthales; Schizoparmaceae.